RNAcentral lists this ribosomal RNA (349 nucleotides) under uncultured Thauera sp. Its description in RNAcentral is "bacterial SSU rRNA". It matches the Rfam family "Bacterial small subunit ribosomal RNA", at positions 1033 to 1382 of the family's 1533-position model. Lineage: Bacteria; Pseudomonadati; Pseudomonadota; Betaproteobacteria; Rhodocyclales; Zoogloeaceae. The record is from RNAcentral.
ACCAGGUGCUGCAUGGCUGUCGUCAGCUCGUGUCGUGAGAUGUUGGGUUAAGUCCCGCAACGAGCGCAACCCUUGUCACUAGUUGCCAUCAUUUGGUUGGGCACUCUAGUGAGACUGCCGGUGACAAACCGGAGGAAGGUGGGGAUGACGUCAAGUCCUCAUGGCCCUUAUGGGUAGGGCUUCACACGUCAUACAAUGGUCGGUACAGAGGGUUGCCAAGCCGCGAGGCGGAGCCAAUCCAGCAAAACUUCCCUCAGUUCAGAUUGCAGGCUGCAACCCGCCUGCAUGAAGUUGGAGUUGCUAGUAAACGCAGGUCAGCCAUACUGCGUUGAAUACGUUCCCGGGGCUU